This 270-nucleotide ribosomal RNA is filed under the name uncultured archaeon. RNAcentral's name for it is "partial 16S ribosomal RNA". It matches the Rfam family "Archaeal small subunit ribosomal RNA", at positions 477 to 747 of the family's 1478-position model. The record is from RNAcentral.
CAGCCCCUCGAGUGGUGGGGAUGAUUAUUUGGCCUAAAGCGUCCGUAGCCGGCCGUGUAAGUCCCCCGUUAAAUCCAGCGUCUCAAGCGUUGGACUGCGGGAGAUACUGCUCGGCUAGAGAGUGGGAGAGGUGUGCGGUAUUCUGGGGGUAGGGGCGAAAUCCUUUGAUCCCCGGAGGACCACUAGUGGCGAAGGCUGCACACUAGAACACGUCUGACGGUCAGGGACGAAAGCUGGGGUAGCGAACCGGAUUAGAUACCCGAGUAGUCC